RNAcentral lists this ribosomal RNA (430 nucleotides) under uncultured bacterium. Its description in RNAcentral is "bacterial SSU rRNA". It matches the Rfam family "Bacterial small subunit ribosomal RNA", at positions 354 to 776 of the family's 1533-position model. The record is from RNAcentral.
GUGGGGAAUAUUGGACAAUGGGCGCAAGCCUGAUCCAGCAAUGCCGCGUGUGUGAAGAAGGCCUGCGGGUUGUAAAGCACUUUCAGUAAGGAGGAAAACUUGAAGGUUAAUAGCCUUCGAGCUUGACGUUACUUACAGAAGAAGCACCGGCUAACUCCGUGCCAGCAGCCGCGGUAAUACGGAGGGUGCGAGCGUUAAUCGGAAUUACUGGGCGUAAAGCGCGCGUAGGCGGCUAAGUAAGUCGGAUGUGAAAGCCCUGGGCUCAACCUGGGAAUUGCAUUCGAUACUGCUUGGCUAGAGUAUGGUAGAGGGUAGUGGAAUUCCUGGUGUAGCGGUGAAAUGCGUAGAUAUCAGGAGGAACAUCAGUGGCGAAGGCGGCUACCUGGACCAAUACUGACGCUGAGGUGCGAAAGCGUGGGGAGCAAACAGG